Molecule: long non-coding RNA, 663 nt
Organism: Carassius auratus (goldfish)
Lineage: Eukaryota; Metazoa; Chordata; Actinopteri; Cypriniformes; Cyprinidae
Exons: 3
Source: RefSeq, a predicted model, not a curated record
AAGAUGUGCCAGUCUCAGAGGCUGUGUGACGCUCUCAUUCAUCACUGUAAAAUGGUCAUCCUCCACUUCAGAAUAAACAGGCUGUCGUUUCUAAUGCAUUCAUUCAUGGGUGGCCACCUCUUCCCACCCAAACAGCCCACUGGAAGGUCUGGAGAGGAUAAAUGUAAGUUGAACAUCAGCUUUAUUGCUAUCUAGAAGGGGCCAUUCUUCAGGAGCAGGACGUUUUAAAUUAACAUCUCUCAGUGAGGAGGAAUUGUGAGAGAGGAAAGAUAAUCUUCGCCGGUGGCAAAGUGCCCAGGCUUCGUGGGAAGUCCACACUCCCUUCCCUGACAUCUGCCAGCGAGUGCCUUCAGCGACACCUCACUGUCUCUAAAAGCAAAUGCUUUCCAAGAACACAGACAUGUGAAUGCGUGACAUCACACCACCAGCACAAUCAUCAAGCUGAUAAACAGCACCCAGCAUUCAACAAGAGGAUAAUGGUUUGCGUAUUCCUCGGAUUCCAAACUGCUCUCAGAUGAGACUUCAACUCAGAUGGGAGAGAAUGACACAGCAGAGACAGAAAGCAGUGUAUCAUGACACACGUCAUCAGAUGCGACCUCCUUCCUCCCUGAGUGUGACCUGGAAGCUGUGCGAAUCCAAACGGUGUAAUUAAACUCUUCCUGC